This is a long non-coding RNA of Capsicum annuum, 584 nucleotides long. RefSeq lists it as uncharacterized. Lineage: Eukaryota; Viridiplantae; Streptophyta; Magnoliopsida; Solanales; Solanaceae. The transcript has 3 exons. The record is from RefSeq and is a predicted model, not a curated record.
AUCUGCUGACAAGGCAUUUAAUUAUUCGCGGGGUGACCUCUUUGUUUGUCUGUAUAUUAUAAACAAUACGUGUAAAUUAUCAAGUUAGAAAUUGGAACAUACCAUUAUUUGAUCUUAUUCUAUAUAAUUCUUUGUAACAAACAUAUAUCUCUGUUAUUUUGUGAAAGAGCUUGGUAGCAAUCGAAGAUGAGUGAGCCACCAAAAUACGCAUAUCCCUACCCAGCUCAAGGUUAUUAUCAAGGUCCUCCAGUGAUGCCGCCGCCACCUCAAUAUUAUGCAGCUCCUCCCCCUAGAAGGGAACCUGGCUUUCUUGAGGGAUGUCUAGCAGCUCUGUGUUGCUGUUUCCUGAUUGAUGAGUGUUGCUGCGACCCUUCCGUCCUCUUCAUCUGUUGAUCAUUGAUCUGUUCAAGUGUCUUGUUUUUAUAUACUAUUAAUAUUGUAGUACUAUUAUCAAAUGUAACUCAGUUUAAUUUCUUUGCUUCUUAAUUAAUAGUUGAUCAAUGUAAUCAGCCUGUUUUCGUGGAGAGCAGAUAUCUGUCUAUGUAAUUAUCUUUACAAUUAGAGAUCAGUACUCCCUGCGUAAA